GCCAGAUAAGGGAAGCAGGCCUCCGAAGCCAGCAGUGGCAACCCACUUGGGUCCCUUUCAAUGCUGUGGAAGCGUUGUUCUUUCACUCUUCUCAAUAAAUCUUGCUGCUGCUCACUCUUUGGGUCUGCCCCGCUGUUAUGAGCUGUAACACUCACAGCCAGUGUCUGCAGUUUCACUCCUGAAGCCAGCAAGACCACAAACCCACAGGGCGGGACAAACAACUCCGGACAGGAGGAAUGAACAACUCUGGACGCGCCACUUCUAUGAACUUUUAUGAACUGUAACACUCACCGCAAAGGUCUGCAGCUUCACCCCUGAGGCCAGGGAGACCACGAACCCACCGGAAGGAAUGAACAACUCCAGACGCACUGCCUUUAAGAGCUGUAACACUUACCACGGAUGUCUGCAGCUUCACUCCUGAAGUCAGCGAGACCACAAACCCAACAGAAGGAAGAAACUCCCGACACAUCUGAACAUCUGAAGGAACAAACUCUGGACACACCAUCUUUAAGAACUGUAACACUCACCGUGAGGGUCAACCGCUUCAUUCUUGAAGUCAGCCAGACCAAGAACCCACCAAUUCCGGCUCAUAGGCAGAAGGGACUUUCCUUGUCUCAGAUGAGAAUUUGGACUGUGGACUUCUGCUGAAAGUCAUUUAAUGCUGAAUCUAUCUGAAUCAUGUUAUUGGACCAUGAGAGCAAGCAGCUGGAUCUCAUUCUGUCCAGGGUUUCAUCAUUUUUGGCCAUGCUGGCCUUGAACGCCUAACCUCAAAUGAUCCACCUGCCUUGGCCUCCUGAAGUUCUGGGAGUUAUAGGCAUGAGUCACCAUGCCUGGCACCACAUAAAAUUAUUUUGUCAUUAACAUUACAUUUUAAAAUACAAACGCUGUUUUCCAUAUUACUCAGGUCAGAUCUUUUACCCCACUUCUCUCAGUGAGAUUGCAUUAUUUAUUUCCAUCUCUAUAAUCUACUGUUCAUCCAUCUAUCUAUCCAUCCCUCAAUUUAGUUUUUUCACUACAUUCUGCAUUUGAUUCUUUUGAGGGUGUAUGCUUGUGUUUGUGCGUGGAAGUGGGGGUGUGUGUGUGUGUGUGUGUUCAAAAAGGUCUACAGUUUCCUUUUUCUGUAAUAUCUGUGUCUGCUGUUGGUAUUAGGGUAAUGCUGAACUCAUAGAGUAUGUGAAAAGUUUUCUACAUUCUUUGAUUUUUCUGAAAGAAAUUGUGCAGAAUUCAUAUUAUUUCUUUCUUAAAUGCUCAAGUGUUUAUUAAAAUUUACCAGUAAAA
Molecule: long non-coding RNA, 1278 nt
Filed under: Homo sapiens (human)
Lineage: Eukaryota; Metazoa; Chordata; Mammalia; Primates; Hominidae
Description: long independently transcribed non-coding RNA 2377, transcript variant 13 (LINC02377)
Source: RNAcentral